This 253-nucleotide ribosomal RNA is filed under the name uncultured bacterium. RNAcentral's name for it is "partial 16S ribosomal RNA". It matches the Rfam family "Bacterial small subunit ribosomal RNA", at positions 524 to 776 of the family's 1533-position model. The record is from RNAcentral.
GACGUAGGGGGCUAGCGUUGUCCGGAAUCAUUGGGCGUAAAGAGCGUGUAGGCGGCCCGGUAAGUCCGCUGUAAAAGUCAAAGGCUCAACCUUUGAAUGUCAGUGGAUACUGCCGGGCUAGAGUCCGGAAGAGGCGAGUGGAACUCCUGGUGUAGCGGUGGAAUGCGCAGAUAUCAGGAAGAACACCAACGGCGAAGGCAGCUCGCUGGGACGGUACUGACGCUGAGGCACGAAGGUCAGGGGAGCAAACGGG